AAAAACAUCAAAAACACCAUAAAACUUCCACCUCAAAUUUCUCCUUACCUAGCUCAAGAGGGAGUGAGUCCUUUUAGGGCAAGGUUGCUGGGUUGGAGGGCUACAAAACCAUACCAAGCUUGCCCGGAUUGGUGGCCGGAGGAGGAAGUUCCGGCGAAGGGAAGCUCGGGGCAGCCCUUGCUUUCAGGCGGCACCGCUCUCUCACGGCGGCGCUAGGGCUCCUCUCACCGGUCUAGAAAUGUUGCUGGGAGGGAGACCGACCGAACGGGACCGGUCCGGCGGCGAACGGAGGUCGGACGGCGGCGGGAGGACGGCCGGAAUUCUGCUGGGUGUAGAGAGAAGAAAAUCGGGUGGGAGGAGAAGAAAAAUCGGGAGGGAGGGAGAAGAGAAAGAAGAAGAAAUGGGUUGGGCUCGGCCCAGCCGACCCAACACCCCUUUUAACCCAUAAUUCCAAAAUUCAACACCCCGAAAAAUAAUACCCGAAUAAAAAUUACCUUUUACUAGCUAAAAUUUACUAUUUUUACCGUCGUCGUAUUUUCCUCAUACGAAUAAUCCUCCGCACAUAAUCGUCCCCGAAACCCCUCUAGGGACCAAUUAAACUAUUUACUCAAUGAUCGAGACGGUAAAAUUCUUAUUAUAAUCACGCUAGUAAAUAAGGUAAAAAUAUAAGGGUCGGGAUGUGACAAAUUGCAUGAACUUUUUUCUUCAAGUUCUCUUAAUUAGUCAAUUCACAUGAGUUUGAUGGAUCUAGAACCUCGAUCAUGAGUUUGAAACUCGGAAAGAAAUGGGAUGACCGAAACAAACGUUCCGUAGACAAAAAU
This 821-nucleotide long non-coding RNA is filed under the name Fragaria vesca (wild strawberry). RNAcentral's name for it is "long non-coding RNA (FVES_LNC004742)". Lineage: Eukaryota; Viridiplantae; Streptophyta; Magnoliopsida; Rosales; Rosaceae. The record is from RNAcentral.